CCUACGGGUGACUGCAGUGGGGAAUAUUGGGCAAUGGGCGCAAGCCUGACCCAGCAACGCCGCGUGAAGGAAGAAGGCUUUCUGGUUGUAAACUUCUUUUCUGAGGGACGAAGAAAGUGACGGUACCUCAGGAAUAAGCCACGCCUAACUACGUGCCAGCAGCCGCUGUAAUACGUCGGUGGCAAGCGUUAUCCGGAUUUGUUGGGUGUAAAGGGCGUUUAGGGGGGAAAGCAAGUCAGAUGUGAAAACUCAGGGCUCAACCCUGAGCGUGCAGUUGAAACUGGUUGUCUUGAGUGCUGGAGAGGCAAUCGGAAUGCGGGGUGUAGCGGUGAAAUGCGUAGAUAUACGGAGGAACACCAGUGGCGAAGGCGGAUUGCUGGAGAGUAACUGACGCUGAGGCGCGAAAGCGUGGGGAGCAAACAGGAUUAGAUACCCCAGUAGUC
This 443-nucleotide ribosomal RNA is filed under the name uncultured bacterium. RNAcentral describes it as "partial 16S ribosomal RNA". It matches the Rfam family "Bacterial small subunit ribosomal RNA", at positions 338 to 795 of the family's 1533-position model. The record is from RNAcentral.